RNAcentral lists this ribosomal RNA (329 nucleotides) under uncultured eukaryote. RNAcentral's name for it is "partial 18S ribosomal RNA". It matches the Rfam family "Eukaryotic small subunit ribosomal RNA", at positions 1470 to 1796 of the family's 1831-position model. The record is from RNAcentral.
CCCUUAGAUGUUCUGGGCCGCACGCGCGCUACACUGACGGAGGCAACGAGCGUGUCCUUCGCCGGCAGGUGCGGGCAAUCUUGCGAGUCUCCGUCGUGCUGGGGAUAGAUGGUUGCAAUUGUCGAUCUUGAACGAGGAAUUCCUAGUAAGCGCGAGUCAUCAGCUCGCGCUGAUUACGUCCCUGCCCUUUGUACACACCGCCCGUCGCUACUACAGAGUGCCCGUGUCCAAGAAACGGUCGGACCUGUGCGGCCUCUCCGGGCGACCGGAGGGCCGUUACGGGGAAGACCCUUUAUUUGACGCGGGUCGAUGAAGUAAAAGUCGUAACA